UACGGGGGGGGCAAGCGUUGUUCGGAAUUACUGGGCGUAAAGGGCUCGUAGGCGGCCAACUAAGUCAGACGUGAAAUCCCUCGGCUUAACCGGGGAACUGCGUCUGAUACUGGAUGGCUUGAAUCCGGGAGAGGGAUGCGGAAUUCCAGGUGUAGCGGUGAAAUGCGUAGAUAUCUGGAGGAACACCGGUGGCGAAGGCGGCAUCCUGGACCGGCAUUGACGCUGAGGAGCGAAAGCUAGGGGAGCAAACGGG
Molecule: ribosomal RNA, 253 nt
Filed under: uncultured bacterium
Lineage: Bacteria
Description: partial 16S ribosomal RNA
Rfam family: Bacterial small subunit ribosomal RNA
Source: RNAcentral